Molecule: long non-coding RNA, 713 nt
Organism: Hyla sarda
Lineage: Eukaryota; Metazoa; Chordata; Amphibia; Anura; Hylidae
Exons: 5
Source: RefSeq, a predicted model, not a curated record
CGGAGACUGUCUGGCUCACACGGUUGCUUGGAUACAGUAUGGAGCCGCGUGCGGGGGGGAGCCCCAAAACCGGGACAGACGUUACCAGAGUCUGUAUAUACAGGGAAAGUCCAUCCUGCUGUCUAGUAGCCAGUUUUAAUGAUGAUUGUCUGAAGAUUCAUCAGAAAAGACUGAAAGAGCAAGCAGUCCAUUACUGGCUAUUCAUCAAGCUUUCCUAAGAAUUUUGCCUCAGCUUUUCACAAUUUCCCUAUAAUACAGGCUGCUAUAAACUGCACUUGAAAGCUGCAGGAAAUGGUUGGAAAUCGGAAACCCAGUCACUGCACUAUACUCUAUAGAGAUUGAAUAUGAUAGUAACAGUAUAUGAAGUUGCUUAAUCCAGAGAAAAACUAGUUACUGUUCACUGUGCCACAGACGAUUUGUGCUUAUUUUGAUGCUUAGACACAAGGAAUGACAGAUAAAAAAAACCCAGGCUGUUGUCACAUGCAUGGAGAGGCGCUCCUUGAGGGAUGGAUUGAGAAACACAGCUCUAAUUUUCUCCAGUCUCCCUGUCUGCUGUUCACAACAAUAUGCAGUUUGAUAAAAUGCAGACAUGUUGCAGCUCUCCAAAGGAUAGAAGCAAUGACAUGUGAGCAGAAGUGUUGCAGCUCUCCGAGAAGUAGAGGAAAUUACACAUCGAUUUCUGAUUUGCCCCCAAACUAUAAACCAGUAACUCC